This is a long non-coding RNA of Oncorhynchus tshawytscha (Chinook salmon), 1103 nucleotides long. Lineage: Eukaryota; Metazoa; Chordata; Actinopteri; Salmoniformes; Salmonidae. The record is from Ensembl.
GGGCUAAGAGCCUCGUCAGGCCUGGGCUAUGGGAGAUUUUAGAACAACGCAUAGAAUCUUUACUGUCCAAUCACAAAAGCUGCACAUUCACUUAACUUACAUACGCUUGUGAUGCGUUCUGCCGUUUUAAUAAAUACAUUUAUACUAUUUCAUCUAUCAGAGGACGAAAACUAAAAAUAAAUAAAAACAAUACGUUCAUCUAUGCAAAAACAUUUGGUUUCUAUGGCUAAUAAAAAUAAUAAUACAAAUAAAUCAUAAAAUUGGUUGCUCUGCCGGCUGGCUAACUUCUUCUCACUGAGCUAGCCAACCGAAGCCACAAACUCUACAGCUGGAAGGGCAUCAAGCUCUUUCCUCUGUUUUCACAUUAGACAUGUACUUGGAUUAUGGCUAUCCCAUGACAAUAAAAUAUUGUUGCAUGAUUUCGCCUGGAUCAGAAACGUUGAUGUCUCGUCUCUUGCACAGAAUUCUCUGUACAGGGCGCGAGAUCGCAUUUCAAAAGAGAAACAGUUUAUUCCCCCCCAGGCAGGCGGACAGCGAGGUUUAAACAAGUCAUCACUAAAAGCUUGUGUGAACCGUGAAGACAGGAUAAACUGGUCCAGGGUCAGUCUUAGCCUGGGGCUAAGAUCACUGCAGUGUGAAAAAGCUUAUAGCAUUGGAUUCAUUAACAACAAUAGCAUCUGUAAAGAAAAACAUAUAACCAGCAGAAAUGGCAUAUAUAUAUAUAUAUAUAUAUAUAAAUAAACAUCCACAACACUCACCCCUUUGAAGAACAGAGUUAGAAGGUGAAAAUGGGCAUCCCUGACGCCUAAAUUACCAACUAAAGGAAACCGUCCAUAUUUAACCAGUCAAACUGUGCGUCCCAAAUGGGACCCUAUUGGCAUUAUAGGGGAAUAGAGAAUGUGGGAAAAUAAGGAACAGGGUGCCACUAUAUAGGGCAUAGGGUGCCACUAUAUAGGGAAUAGGGUGCCAUCAUAUAGGGAACAGGGUGCCAUCAUAUAGGGAAUAGGGUGCCAUCAUAUAGGGAAUAGGGUGCCAUCAUAUAGGGAAUAGGGUGCCAUCAUAUAGGGAAUAGGGUGCCAUCAUAUAGGGAAUAGGGUGCCAUC